GUCCAGGGGUCCCUGAGGGAGGCCAGCACAAGAGCUCUGCCAUAAAAGGACAUUGGACAGGAGUGAAGAGUCCAAUCAGAAACUCUUUUUGAGAGAUUGAACGCAAAGCAUUCAGAGAGUCAGCAGGCUGCAGAGGCCAAGACACACACAGGAAGAAGGCAGGACACUCUUCUCCUCCUGCCGUUGGACUCCAGGCUCUAUGACCUUCAAACUCCAGGACUUACACCAGCCGCCCCUGGGCACUCAGGACUUCUGCCUCAAACUGACAGUUGCAGGACAGUGCAGCAUUUUAUUUUAAAGAUACCCCACAAUGUAGGCGGCCGGUCCUGCUGCAGGGCAGAUACGCUCCCUUGAUUCUGAGGUCUUUGAACUUGCCUUGAAGCCACACUGCCUGCAUCCCAGGGUCUCCAGCUUGCAGAUGGACUGUGGUGGGACUUCUCAGCCACCAAGAUUGAGAGCUGUACUAGCCUGGCAUGCAGACAGCAGCUUGAGAAUCAGAUCUGCCUUCUGGCGGCUUCCCACCUAGGAGCCAUGAGACCUUUGUGAAGUCACCAAUUGUGCUGUGGAUGCUUCAUUUGUGAAGGAGAACAGGACUGCCUUGUGAAGUUACAGAUGGUGCUAAUAAAACAUAUCAAUAAUUUGAAUUUCACUUUUGUGGAUGCUUUAAACAUCAUAGUCAGUAGAAGGUGGAUCUGGCUGAUUGUACUUUAAAUUUUCAGUUUGGGCUGUAGCUUUGUAUUAUAACAGGAGGGUACUGGACAAGAGGAGGAAACUAAGCUACAGAAGGGAAACUUGCUCAAGUUCACACAGCAAUUAAGUGGUCAAGUCCAAGAGCAAAACCAGGCAGGCUGGCUCCAGAGCUCACAAUAGCCCACCACUGCUUUCCACUAUCACUACAGAAUCAAGUCCAUGAGGAUACUCACCUUAUGUCAGUUGCCUAAGUUGGAAAUUAUAGAAUUUUCAAAUUGGAAGUGACCUUAUCGUCCAAGAUUUCAACUUUCUAGUCACUGCAAAAUCCCUUCUGGAGCUUCCCAGAUUGAUGAAUUUUCAUCAGCUCUGCUUGAGUACUCCCAGUGACUUGGAAAAAAAAACACUGUAAUAUGGAUAUGAAAUAUAAACUGUUCAUGGAUAAAUUAUUGCAUAAUAAAAACAUGCCUAAUGGCUACACUCCCCUAA
Molecule: long non-coding RNA, 1176 nt
Filed under: Pongo abelii (Sumatran orangutan)
Lineage: Eukaryota; Metazoa; Chordata; Mammalia; Primates; Hominidae
Description: lincRNA
Source: RNAcentral